RNAcentral lists this long non-coding RNA (276 nucleotides) under Homo sapiens (human). RNAcentral describes it as "HSALNT0040844". Lineage: Eukaryota; Metazoa; Chordata; Mammalia; Primates; Hominidae. The record is from RNAcentral.
CUCAGACAAACCCUGAAGCCCCAUGCUGAGAGAAAAGUGCCAUGAGACGGAAGCAACUGGAAUGCUGGAUCCCCACACAGAGAACCCCUGGAGAGAUUCCUGGGCCAGCAGAAGCUUUGCAUGACUAAAAAUAUACUGUUUCGAGAAUCUUGCUGAGAAACCCCACAAAUGAAAGUGAAGCUCUUUUGACUGAAGUAGCUGGAGAAGGUGAGGUGAGAGAUAGGGAAAAGCAGGUGAGAAGGGGCAGAAGCACAGAGAAACUGAAGUCCAGCCACU